Molecule: unclassified non-coding RNA, 349 nt
Filed under: Macrochaete santannae CCALA 1093
Lineage: Bacteria; Bacillati; Cyanobacteriota; Cyanophyceae; Nostocales; Calotrichaceae
Description: 16S-23S ribosomal RNA intergenic spacer
Source: RNAcentral
UUAAAGGGAGACCUACCCAACUGAUUGAUUCAACUAGUAAUAGUUGAGGUAAUAUCGAGCAGAUGGUCAACCAAAGGUCGGUCGAAGAUUGGCAGAUUGGCUUUCAAACUAUAAUUUCGGUUUGUUUAGUUGUUGAAUAAAGAUUUAGCACCUAAAUUGGAUUAAGAAAUUUAAUCAAAUUUAGAAUGCUGAAUGUGAAUUCAGCCAGAACCAUGAAAACUGCAUAAUGACGCAAAAGAAUUGUAGGUAGUAAUUUUGUAACUACAGCAAUCGAGAAGUAUAAAAGCUUCGGUGUAUUGGCAGUAGGAAUAAAAUUGUCAACGUACAACACAGAGAUAGUAUAGAUAGA